RNAcentral lists this long non-coding RNA (461 nucleotides) under Chinchilla lanigera (long-tailed chinchilla). RNAcentral's name for it is "lncRNA (ENSCLAG00000022708.1)". The record is from RNAcentral. Lineage: Eukaryota; Metazoa; Chordata; Mammalia; Rodentia; Chinchillidae.
AAUGGCCUCCCUCCAGGAGCAAGCAAAGAAGGCGAGUAACCUCUCCCAAGUCACAGAGACAAAGAAAAUAAAUUUGAAGAAAAGCCAUGAAGAUAGAUAUUUUGCAGAUACAUAGAGAUCGACAGAGACACACUAGAAGUAAGAAAAACCCUUUAACUGGAAGGCUUGAUGAUGAAAACUCUGGAAGGCAGGUGCUGCUCUUUGCCACAGAAGGAAGACUGGCUCUGGUAUUAUUUGAUCCAGCUGCAACAAAUAACCAAAAUGAAGAUAUAUAAUCAUUUGUUGAUAUGAUAGAGAAUGUUUACUGAAAGCAAAAUCAAAAGCUGAUCUAUUUCUUCUUUCUCUGGAUAUGGAGAGAUUUCAUUUCCUUGCUUCAAGUGAAUAUCUUGUAUUAGAUGAAACACAUCACUGAGUUCUAUCUACUAGAAUGGGAGGGGAAGUGAUCUGUCUGCUCAAUGGGG